RNAcentral lists this transfer RNA (71 nucleotides) under Marmota marmota marmota (Alpine marmot). It matches the Rfam family "tRNA". Rfam says of the family: Transfer RNA (tRNA) molecules are approximately 80 nucleotides in length. Their secondary structure includes four short double-helical elements and three loops (D, anti-codon, and T loops). Further hydrogen bonds mediate the characteristic L-shaped molecular structure. tRNAs have two regions of fundamental functional importance: the anti-codon, which is responsible for specific mRNA codon recognition, and the 3' end, to which the tRNAs corresponding amino acid is attached (by aminoacyl-tRNA synthetases). tRNAs cope with the degeneracy of the genetic code in two manners: having more than one tRNA (with a specific anti-codon) for a particular amino acid; and 'wobble' base-pairing, i.e. permitting non-standard base-pairing at the 3rd anti-codon position. RNAcentral also lists the same sequence under 1 other name. The record is from Rfam by way of RNAcentral. Lineage: Eukaryota; Metazoa; Chordata; Mammalia; Rodentia; Sciuridae.
GGGAUGUGGCUUAGUGGUAGAGCACUUGCCUAGCAUGCAUGAGGCCCUGGGUUUGAUCCUCAGCACCACCA